RNAcentral lists this ribosomal RNA (253 nucleotides) under uncultured bacterium. RNAcentral describes it as "partial 16S ribosomal RNA". It matches the Rfam family "Bacterial small subunit ribosomal RNA", at positions 524 to 776 of the family's 1533-position model. The record is from RNAcentral.
UACGUAGGGUGCAAGCGUUAAUCGGAAUUACUGGGCGUAAAGCGUGCGUAGGCGGUUAUUCAAGUCAGAGGUGAAAGCCUGGAGCUCAACUCCAGAACUGCCUUUGAAACUAGAUAGCUAGAAUCUUGGAGAGGUGAGUGGAAUUCCGAGUGUAGAGGUGAAAUUCGUAGAUAUUCGGAAGAACACCAGUGGCGAAGGCGACUCACUGGACAAGUAUUGACGCUGAGGUACGAAAGCGUGGGGAGCAAACAGG